RNAcentral lists this long non-coding RNA (212 nucleotides) under Mytilus galloprovincialis (Mediterranean mussel). Lineage: Eukaryota; Metazoa; Mollusca; Bivalvia; Mytilida; Mytilidae. The record is from RNAcentral.
CCUGGAUGUCUGUGGUGAAAUACUUGUUCCUUGGUAAUUGUCCUCCUGCCCUGCAAUCUUGGUUCUAUUAAAUGAUAUACUUGUUCCUGUUAUUGUCUUCAUGUCCUGUACUCGUGACAGCCUUUGUUAAGAUACUAUUCCUUUGUAAUUGUCUUCCUGCCCUGCAAUCUUGGUUCUAUUAUAUGAUAUACUUGUUCCUGUUAUUGUCUUCA